GACGUAGGGCGCGAGCGUUGUCCGGAUUUAUUGGGCGUAAAGAGCGUGUAGGCGGUCAGGUAGGUCGGUUGUGAAAACUGGAGGCUCAACCUUCAGAGGUCGACCGAAACCCCCUGGCUAGAGUCCGGGAGAGGAGAGUGGAAUUCCUGGUGUAGCGGUGAAAUGCGCAGAUAUCAGGAAGAACACCCGUGGCGAAAGCGGCUCUCUGGAACGGUACUGACGCUGAGACGCGAAAGCUAGGGGAGCAAACGGG
This 253-nucleotide ribosomal RNA is filed under the name uncultured bacterium. RNAcentral describes it as "partial 16S ribosomal RNA". It matches the Rfam family "Bacterial small subunit ribosomal RNA", at positions 524 to 776 of the family's 1533-position model. The record is from RNAcentral.